GAUGAAGAACGCAGCGAAAUGCGAUACGUAAUGUGAAUUGCAAAUUCAGUGAAUCAUCGAGUCUUUGAACGCACAUUGCGCCCCCUGGUAUUCCGGGGGGCAUGCCUGUCCGAGCGUCAUUGCUGCCCUCAAGCACGGCUUGUGUGUUGGGCCCCGUCCUCCGAUCCCGGGGGACGGGCCCGAAAGGCAGCGGCGGCACCGCGUCCGGUCCUCGAGCGUAUGGGGCUUUGUCACCCGCUCUGUAGGCCCGGCCGGCGCUUGCCGAUCAACCCAAAUUUUUAUCCUGGUUGACCUCGGAUCAGGUAGGGAUACCCGCUGAACUUAAGCAUAUCAAUAAGCGGAGGA
Molecule: unclassified non-coding RNA, 345 nt
Filed under: soil metagenome
Description: partial contains 5.8S ribosomal RNA, internal transcribed spacer 2, and large subunit ribosomal RNA
Rfam family: 5.8S ribosomal RNA (bases 1-119)
Source: RNAcentral